Molecule: ribosomal RNA, 1556 nt
Filed under: Salmonella enterica subsp. enterica serovar Montevideo str. CDC 07-0954
Lineage: Bacteria; Pseudomonadati; Pseudomonadota; Gammaproteobacteria; Enterobacterales; Enterobacteriaceae
Also listed under: 2 other names
Description: bacterial SSU rRNA
Rfam family: Bacterial small subunit ribosomal RNA
Source: RNAcentral
UUAAAUUGAAGAGUUUGAUCAUGGCUCAGAUUGAACGCUGGCGGCAGGCCUAACACAUGCAAGUCGAACGGUAACAGGAAGCAGCUUGCUGCUUCGCUGACGAGUGGCGGACGGGUGAGUAAUGUCUGGGAAACUGCCUGAUGGAGGGGGAUAACUACUGGAAACGGUGGCUAAUACCGCAUAACGUCGCAAGACCAAAGAGGGGGACCUUCGGGCCUCUUGCCAUCAGAUGUGCCCAGAUGGGAUUAGCUUGUUGGUGAGGUAACGGCUCACCAAGGCGACGAUCCCUAGCUGGUCUGAGAGGAUGACCAGCCACACUGGAACUGAGACACGGUCCAGACUCCUACGGGAGGCAGCAGUGGGGAAUAUUGCACAAUGGGCGCAAGCCUGAUGCAGCCAUGCCGCGUGUAUGAAGAAGGCCUUCGGGUUGUAAAGUACUUUCAGCGGGGAGGAAGGUGUUGUGGUUAAUAACCGCAGCAAUUGACGUUACCCGCAGAAGAAGCACCGGCUAACUCCGUGCCAGCAGCCGCGGUAAUACGGAGGGUGCAAGCGUUAAUCGGAAUUACUGGGCGUAAAGCGCACGCAGGCGGUCUGUCAAGUCGGAUGUGAAAUCCCCGGGCUCAACCUGGGAACUGCAUUCGAAACUGGCAGGCUUGAGUCUUGUAGAGGGGGGUAGAAUUCCAGGUGUAGCGGUGAAAUGCGUAGAGAUCUGGAGGAAUACCGGUGGCGAAGGCGGCCCCCUGGACAAAGACUGACGCUCAGGUGCGAAAGCGUGGGGAGCAAACAGGAUUAGAUACCCUGGUAGUCCACGCCGUAAACGAUGUCUACUUGGAGGUUGUGCCCUUGAGGCGUGGCUUCCGGAGCUAACGCGUUAAGUAGACCGCCUGGGGAGUACGGCCGCAAGGUUAAAACUCAAAUGAAUUGACGGGGGCCCGCACAAGCGGUGGAGCAUGUGGUUUAAUUCGAUGCAACGCGAAGAACCUUACCUGGUCUUGACAUCCACGGAAGAAUUCAGAGAUGGAUUUGUGCCUUCGGGAACCGUGAGACAGGUGCUGCAUGGCUGUCGUCAGCUCGUGUUGUGAAAUGUUGGGUUAAGUCCCGCAACGAGCGCAACCCUUAUCCUUUGUUGCCAGCGGUCCGGCCGGGAACUCAAAGGAGACUGCCAGUGAUAAACUGGAGGAAGGUGGGGAUGACGUCAAGUCAUCAUGGCCCUUACGACCAGGGCUACACACGUGCUACAAUGGCGCAUACAAAGAGAAGCGACCUCGCGAGAGCAAGCGGACCUCAUAAAGUGCGUCGUAGUCCGGAUUGGAGUCUGCAACUCGACUCCAUGAAGUCGGAAUCGCUAGUAAUCGUGGAUCAGAAUGCCACGGUGAAUACGUUCCCGGGCCUUGUACACACCGCCCGUCACACCAUGGGAGUGGGUUGCAAAAGAAGUAGGUAGCUUAACCUUCGGGAGGGCGCUUACCACUUUGUGAUUCAUGACUGGGGUGAAGUCGUAACAAGGUAACCGUAGGGGAACCUGCGGUUGGAUCACCUCCUUACCUUAAAGAAGC